CUGAAUCUUGAGCAGAUUGGUCAUUGGAUUUCGCAGGGCCAUCACGGUGUUUUCUCUUGGUAGAUUUUGAUGGUUCCCCUGCUUCAGGCAGAGAGCUUCUGUUUCUGCUAUUGGAAGGAGUAUAGGCACUCGCUGUUCGCAUACUCCGAGUCGCAGAGAGCUUUUGUUUCUGCUAUUGGAAGGAGUAUAGGCACUCGCUGUUCGCAUACUCCAAGUCCUGUUACUUUGAGUAGGAGUUGCAAAGCGCCGAGAUGAAUUGGUCACUGUAGUAGCAGAUGACCGCCGAGCCAUCUGCUUCAAGUUUAUGCUAUUCUGUUUAAGCUCACUUGGCUCUGGGUAAUGGAUAAGGGAAACACGCCGUGAAAUUUUGCCAGCUGCCAAAACAUGCAAAAGCAUCAGAAUUGGUGUGCCUAACCAUCUCACAUGAUGCUCGACAAAGUUAACAGUGUGAGGGGGGGGAGAAGAUGCAUCUGAAGGAACCUCGUGUGCAUAUGAGACAAAAAGUUUAUUGUCCAAGUAAAAAGAUCAUAUU
RNAcentral lists this long non-coding RNA (532 nucleotides) under Nicotiana benthamiana. RNAcentral describes it as "long non-coding RNA (NBEN_LNC021208)". The record is from RNAcentral. Lineage: Eukaryota; Viridiplantae; Streptophyta; Magnoliopsida; Solanales; Solanaceae.